CCAAGAACAGAUCCCUGAGGCACACCACUGGUCACCGACCUCCAUGCAGAAUAUGACCUGUAUACAACCACUCUUUGCCUUCUGCGGGUAACUUACCUCACCUCGACCUAUUAUCGCCGAAGCCUGAAUGAGCCAAAGCUCUACCGUGCUGCCUUAAGUUACUCCGUUGAUGACCACUCCGCUAGGCAGUGUCUCCCUUUUAUGCCUGAACCUUCCCUGCUAUUUAACUCAUGACUGGUGCUCCAGUUAUAGCCACUGAUUGGGUAUUAACGACGGACUAAUGCUCUUGAAGCUCCCAUUUUAAGUAACCGCUGCCGACCUGUGAGAAAUACCUCUUGGUAAAGUUCUGUUGACUGACUGGCCACGUACUUUGAGCACAAUCCUUUGUAUUCCACUUCUUCUCAAGUACCAGGUUGUCAAUUGCCAAGAAUCUUGGGGAGAAUAAAAAUAGUCUAAGGUAGGAUUAGUGUAAAUAAGGCUUUUUAUGGUUGAAUUAGACUUGGUUGGCCUAAGGGCCUGUUUCCAUGCUAUACCACUUCAUGUCCAUUGACAGGACUUUGCCGGAGUCGACUGGGCUGAGAAUGUCUUUCCUGCAUAUGAAUUGAUUCAAUGCCAGAUAGUUUGUCCAGUUUUAUUCUUUCUCUGCUUUGAGGUUUGCUCUAUUUGAUUGGUGAACUAUUUUCAGAAGGUCUCUUUGUGAUUUCAAAUCAGGAAAACAUGGUAAAUUUCCUUCAUCUGGUAAUUUUAGAGGUUUGUGACGCAUGGUCAUCAAAAUUAAUGACAUAUUUUGUUUUAAAAGCAAAACCUGAUUAUCAGAUGAAUUAAAAUUCCAUGACUGCCCUGUGUGUAAUGUUAGCUUACAUCUCUAGAUUAAUGGUCAGACCUUGGAGUUACUGGUUCAAUAAAUUAAAAUGUCAGAAAUAUCAUUGCUUAUACACAAAGUAACUGUGAAGAAACCUAGGCAGCCAACCUCAUUUUAUGCAGUAACAUUUCCUUUUCUUACCACAGUGCUAGCCGAGAGAGUUUGCUCCGUGUUGGUGUAUUUCCUACACUUAAUGGCCACUUUAUUAGGUACAGGAGUGGAACCCAGUGUGGCUUUCAACUUUGUAGCCUAUCCACUUCAAGCUUUGACUUUGUGCAUUCAAAGAUGCUCGUCUGCACACCACUGUAGUGACGCGUGAGUAUUUGAGUUACUGUCGCCUUCCUGUCAACUUGAAUCAAUCACGCCAUUCUCCUCUGAUCUCUCUCAUUAGCAAGACAGUUUCAUUCACAAAAUUGCUGCUAACUGGAUGUUUUCAGUUUUCCGCUCCAUUCUCUGUAAACUCUUGUGAAUACUAGAGAUUGUUGUGUGUGAAAAUCCCAGGAGAUCUGCAGUUUCUGAGAUACUCAAACCACCCUGUCUGGCACCAACAAUCAUUCCACAGUCAAAGUCACUUAGAUCACACUUCUUCCCCAUUCUGAUGUUUGGUCUGAAUCAAAAAUGAACUUCUUGACUCUGCCUGCAUUGAGUUGAUCUUUUAUGCAUGGCUGCUAUAUAUUUGGUUGAUUAGAUAAGUGCAUUAACAAACAGGUAUACAGGUGUACCUAAUAAAGUGGCCACUGAGUGUAUAUUAUAAUUGUGAGAGCACAGUAAGUUCUUAAUUGGCUAAAAAGCAUUUUGCAAUUUUCUGGAAAAACGGUAUUAAAAUGAUGCUAUCUUUGCUAUAAUACUUUAGGUUAGGAUUGGACAUUAUGCACAUGUUACAUAUAUAUAUUAAUUACUGUAAUUAAUUGAUUGAUUUUCUAUAUUAUCAUGUAUUGCAUUGUACUGCUGCCCCUAAGUUAACAAUUCUCCUGAUGUAUAGCGGUGAUAAUAAACCUGACUCUGAUUUUGAUUCUGUUCAUAAUGCAUCUAUUUGAAACAGAAUUUGAGGAAAAAUUAUAAUAUGCAGUGCUUUCGAUAUCCCGUGUCACCUAGAACCUGCCAAUUUAACCUUAGCUGAAUAAGAAGACAAUUUAAAACAACCAAUGCACAUGGGAAAGAACAUAGAAACCUACUUACGAUGGUUCCCAGAAUUGAAUUCUGAUGUCCAAUGCUCUUAAGUGUAAUAGCAUCACAGUAACUCUAAGCCACCAUGGUGCCAAUGAUCCUUCUCAUCUGUCCAACAAUUUCUUUUUUCCCCUCCCAUCAGCAGGAGGUACCAUAGCAUUCAGACAAGCACUGUUAGGGUGGGCAACAGCUUCGUCUCCCGGGCCAAGACUACUAAACUCCCUGCCACCUCCCAGGUCUGAUUACGUAUGAAGCACCAGUGGCAUUAUACUGUUUACAUUUUAACCUGUGUAAUAAAUGUACCUCGUUAUUUGUUAAUUUUAUUUUUGGUAAUUUUACUUAUGUUGUGUGUGUGUGUGUGAGUUAUGUGUACUUUGUUGUUCUCCUUGGUCUGGUGCAACUUUGUUUCAUUUGGCGGUAUAAGUGUGUACGGUUGAAUAACAAUAAACAAUUGGGAGCAUCCUGACUGGCUACAUCACUGCCUGGUGUGGGAACUGUACUUCCCUCAAUCGCAGGGCUCUGCGGAGAGUAGUGAGGACAGCCCAGCAUAUCUGUGGACGUGAACUUCCCACUAUUCAGGAUAUUUACAAAGACAGGUGUGUAAAAAGGGCCUGAAGAAUCAUUGGGGACCCAAGUCACCCCAGCCGCAAACUGUUCCAGCUGCUACCAUCCAGGAAACUGUAUCGCAGCAUAAAUGCCAGGAGCACCAGGCUCCGGCACAGCUCCUUCCACCAGGCCAUCAAACUGAUUAAUUCAUGCUGACACAUUUGUAUUUCCCUGUUAUAUUGACUGUCCUGUUGUACCUACUAUUUAUUAUAAAUUACUAUAAAUUGCACAUUGCACACUUAGACAGAGAUGUAAAGAUUUUUACUCCUGUAUCCAGAGAUACCGGCCACGUGACAGAUGCACUGCCACCUGGCUGGUCGGAGGACACACCACAUGCCAAUCAACAUUUGGUCCCUCCCAACUAAUCAAUGCACACGUAAAUUAUUGGUCACCUUAAUUGGAUUAUCUCGCCCAGCCCCAUGCUUUAAAAGGUGAGACUUGGCCUUGGCUCAACCUCUCUUGCAGACCACCAUAUUGGAGGUAAGUGCAUUGAUUUAUGCUUGGGAAGGUCUAUUGUUCGUCCUGGUAAGGGAGCCGCAGCUAUCCAAGGUCAAGGGGGAUAGCUGUUGUAGUGCUUUUCCCUUGUUCUUUGUUUGUGUAACCGUACUCUGUCCCCACACCGCUUCCUGUGUAUUGUUGCUUGUGUUGACCUGACUUCCCCUUGUAAAUAAAUUCCUUAUACCAUCACAACAACUCCUCAUAUACAUGAAUGAUAUAAGUAAUAAACUGAAUUUGAACUUGAAUAUGCAAUUUUAUUAUACUUGUCUCUGUUAUAGAUUGCCAAAGAUGGAAGUAAAAAACAAUAUAAGAGAGCCGUUAGGGACAAAGGCAGACAGUAUAUUGUUAACAAGGAACCAUUGAUAUAAACAAGAGCCAGGUGCAAAGGACUUCCACUGAGUGCUUUGUUCUUGCAAGCAAUGAUUGGCUUUGAAACCACUAUGUUCAACUGUGUAAAAUAAUAAAUGUUGUCUAUUAUUACUGCAUGAGUUACCUUAAACAAACACCAUAUUUAUACAGAGAACGAUAGGUUCCUCAUUUACAGGACUGUAAGUCAUUCUUAUUCCAUGGAACUUUCAGAAAGCUUGGCUAUACCUAGAAUUGCGUAUUUUAUAUGACUGUAAACUGUGUUUGAUGGGCUGGACUGCAGGGCAUCACUUGUCAUGCGACUCUUUUAGUUAAUGGUGAUUGUUGAUGUGUUUCCAGAGCUGCGUAUCACUGGCCAGUACCAUCCAGGAAGUCAACUCACAAAGCAUCACACACCAGUGUUCUUCUAAAGGAUCUACUAUAUUAUCAAAGUAUACAACUUGAAAUUUUUCUUCUCCAGGUAGCCAUGAAACCAAGAAUGAAAAGAAAGGCAGCACAGUUCAUCAACCCCCAAAUCCCCCUACCCCACACAAAAAAAGAACAAAAAUGGAACAGGCACAUCAACUCUCAAAUCCCUCCUCCCGCACAAUAAAAUGAACAAAAUGGAACAGGGACAUUGAUGCCCAAAUCCAUCCUCCUGGAGAAAAAAACAAGAAAGAUCAGGCAAAAAACACGCAGUUUAAAAAAAACUAUAAAACUUUGAAAAAUCUAUAGUCCAAGUCCACAUCCAAACUGCAGAAAACCUGGGCAACACUCUCCGGGCCUUUCCCUCUCUGUAGCUAUCAAGAGACAGUUAGCCGGUGCUUACCCUCCACACUUGCCUCGAAGUUUCAAUCUCUCCCUAAUCAGUGAACAAUGGAAGCUUAAUAGGUGAAAUGGAGUCGAACAACGGUUUUCUCAUUAUGAAGUUUCGCUCGAUGCCUCUGUCUCCCAGAAUCUUCUCGGAGACUGCAGAGCGCUGGAACACCCAAACAAUCUCCGAACAUAAAAAUCACAGACUCCAACAGUUCCAGGAUCACAUCCAAGAUGAAAAGGUGACUCCCUGACAACUGCUUCUCCUGUAGGUGACAGGAGGACCAGAAGGCAGGCAUAGGGAUGUAGAAAUUGAAUAUCAAGGCGAAUAGCCCAAAGAACAAUGAGGAACUAAGGAGGAAUUAUGCACCUUGGAGAGCCUUGAAAACCCUUUUUUGAUUCCCCUGUGUGCUGAUGGGAAGAGGUUCCUCAUCCACUAAAAGGUUCAGAAAGCAAGGCAGUGAGAGAGAUUACUGUGUCGACUCCAGACAGUAGCAGCAACUUCUUCUGCAGUCGAAGGAUGGGUGUGUGGAAGGAGUUACAAGGGGUGAAGAGCCAGCAGGCCCAGCUCUUCCCAGCUGAAUCCUUUUUAGGAUAAUCUUCUGAUCUAGGGUCCACAACCUGGAGCAGGAUGAGAUGUGCUCAAGCUUUUUCUUCCAAUGCUUCAUAGGGGGAGUUCUGUGAUCUACAGCUUCAAGGAAUGAGAUAGUUCAGUAACAUCCUUGCAGAUGGGUGCGUUCAGGACCUGGAGUUCCUUCUAUGAUGAUUUUUCAGACUGAAAUCCACAGGGAGCACAGCCUCCCAGAACUCUAUCACAGAGCUGUUAGACGACAUCAAGUGGGAGAGUCUGGACCAGCCACUGACCCUGGAGGAACUGACUGACUCCAUCCAUUCCUUAUGUACAAUGUCCUGUGUAUGUUACUCAAAAUGGGUUUUUUGGUUUGUUAAGAGUAGGAAUGCUUCUUUGAUAAGUGUUUCUCUCGCAGUUGUUUUGCUUUAUACUUGUUGAUAUGGUAAUUGUAUUCAUUUGUUAACCAAUGGGGAGUGUUAUUUUGUCUUGUGAGGCUGGGAACUUGGGGGAGGGGUUUUUCACGGGCUUUUGUGAGAGAGCGGGAGGAUGACGUUGAGGAAGGUGGACGUGCGCUGCACUGCUCGGAAGACCACCGGGCGUGGUCCUAGGUGCGAAGAUGUGGAGGUCGGAGGCAAGCGACGAGGGGUCGAAUGGUUUGAUGUUUGAGCUCCAACGAUGUGCACUAAACUGACUGAACUUCGAUAAGUUGGCGCCUUUUUGUUUUGUUUGUUUCCCUUGCAUAUAUAUUGUAUUGCCUAAUAUUCUUUUCAUUUUAGUAAACUCUUUAAAGUGUA
Long non-coding RNA from Hypanus sabinus (Atlantic stingray), 5656 nucleotides. RefSeq lists it as uncharacterized. The record is from RefSeq and is a predicted model, not a curated record. The transcript has 2 exons. NCBI's taxonomy places the organism in Eukaryota, Metazoa, Chordata, Chondrichthyes, Myliobatiformes, Dasyatidae.